RNAcentral lists this non-coding RNA (26 nucleotides) under Drosophila melanogaster (fruit fly). Lineage: Eukaryota; Metazoa; Arthropoda; Insecta; Diptera; Drosophilidae. RNAcentral also lists the same sequence under 4 other names. The record is from RNAcentral.
CGGCGGGAGUAACUAUGACUCUCUUA